GCGAACGCUGGCGGCAUGCCUUACACAUGCAAGUCGAACGAGACCUUCGGGUCUAGUGGCGCACGGGUGCGUAACGCGUGGGAACCUGCCCUUAGGUUCGGAAUAACUCCCCGAAAGGGGUGCUAAUACCGGAUAAUGUCUUCGGACCAAAGAUUUAUCGCCUUUGGAUGGGCCCGCGUUGGAUUAGCUAGUUGGUAGGGUAAAAGCCUACCAAGGCGACGAUCCAUAGCUGGUCUGAGAGGAUGAUCAGCCACACUGGGACUGAGACACGGCCCAGACUCCUACGGGAGGCAGCAGUGGGGAAUAUUGGACAAUGGGCGAAAGCCUGAUCCAGCAAUGCCGCGUGAGUGAUGAAGGCCUUAGGGUUGUAAAGCUCUUUUACCCGGGAUGAUAAUGACAGUACCGGGAGAAUAAGCUCCGGCUAACUCCGUG
This 432-nucleotide ribosomal RNA is filed under the name uncultured bacterium. RNAcentral's name for it is "partial 16S ribosomal RNA". It matches the Rfam family "Bacterial small subunit ribosomal RNA", at positions 29 to 507 of the family's 1533-position model. The record is from RNAcentral.